Molecule: non-coding RNA, 45 nt
Filed under: Trichobilharzia regenti
Lineage: Eukaryota; Metazoa; Platyhelminthes; Trematoda; Strigeidida; Schistosomatidae
Source: RNAcentral
ACCUGGAUGACGAGUCCCGAAUAGGAUGAAAUGCGCAUCGUGGAU